UACGUAGGGUCCGAGCGUUGUCCGGAAUUACUGGGCGUAAAGGGCUCGUAGGUGGCCAAUUAAGUCAGACGUGAAAUCCCUCGGCUUAACCGGGGAACUGCGUCUGAUACUGGAUGGCUUGAGUUCGGGAGAGGGAUGCGGAAUUCCAGGUGUAGCGGUGAAAUGCGUAGAUAUCUGGAGGAACACCGGUGGCGAAGGCGGCAUCCUGGACCGACACUGACACUGAGGAGCGAAAGCCAGGGGAGCAAACGGG
This 253-nucleotide ribosomal RNA is filed under the name uncultured bacterium. RNAcentral's name for it is "partial 16S ribosomal RNA". It matches the Rfam family "Bacterial small subunit ribosomal RNA", at positions 524 to 776 of the family's 1533-position model. The record is from RNAcentral.